This is a long non-coding RNA of Panicum virgatum (switchgrass), 563 nucleotides long. RefSeq lists it as uncharacterized. Lineage: Eukaryota; Viridiplantae; Streptophyta; Magnoliopsida; Poales; Poaceae. The transcript is spliced from 3 exons. The record is from RefSeq and is a predicted model, not a curated record.
UUUGUGUACAAAGAGGCCAUGGCUGCAAACUUCAGUAGAUCCGGCAACUCGUGUACAUUUAGCUACAAACUUCUCUCUUCAUCAUAGCUGCUAGUUAUCUUACCGCCGUGUGUAUUAGCAGAUGUAGCAUAAAUGAGUUAAUGUCUCAAUGAGCUAACUUGACCAUCAAAUUUAGCAUGUUAAAACAUCUUUCUCACUGCCUAACUAACUUCGUGUCUUUGCAGGAUGUCUGUGAUCUUCUUAGGCUGCUGAAUGAAGUGGAAUUAACCACAGUGAACGAGAGGAGGCUGAAACAGGCCUUUCAUGAGAAGUUUUAUCAUAUUACUAGUGCUGCUAACAUUGGAAAUUACCUCGAAUAUCAAAACUUUCAGUAUGAUCAGUGGAGGUACAUACUGAAGGUUCUGUAAAAGAAAGUUGGGCUUUUCAAAGAGGCGAUGGACCUGCAAAUCAAAGAGGUACUCAUCGAUCAAACGGAAGAUCAGAGUGACAGCCAGUGAUCUGUGUUCAGGAGCUGGUGAAGCCAGCAGCAUGCAGUGAGCCUCGAUCACUAAAUAAUGUCCGUA